Molecule: long non-coding RNA, 1079 nt
Organism: Toxorhynchites rutilus septentrionalis
Lineage: Eukaryota; Metazoa; Arthropoda; Insecta; Diptera; Culicidae
Exons: 2
Source: RefSeq, a predicted model, not a curated record
UUCAAUAUUUUUGCGCACAGUAUUUGCUGAUGGAUACAAUGGUAGUUGAUAAAAUUUGGAAUAUUAUCAUCAAUUUUGAAAUGAUUCAUAAAUCCAUUAUGAAAUCCAAUCGUGCAAGAAGCUCUAUCAGUCGUAGUCGAUACCAAUUUUUGUAUUGGAAAUCAUGUUUUAGGGAUGAAGGACUUGAACGAGAACGAGUGUGUUCCUUCAUUGAUAAAAAAUUGUUAAAAAUAAUUCUUUAUUAGGCAUAUCCUGCAAACACAACCUUAUGGAUACACAUAACUAUGCGGUAUCAGUUGAUUCGUCGAGUUGUAAGAAUAGCAACCGAAAUUCAUCAAUAUCAGCAUCUCAUCCAAAUUUUUACUUUUAGCUUCUGUUAUACGUAUGAAAGUGUUUCUUGACAGCAACUUUUUUUUAAUCAAAGCAAUUAUUUCAGAUUCAUUGUUAAAAUUUUCAAACAAUAAUUCUUCUGAUGUAAUAAAUCUCCUUUCAACCGUCUCCAAAAGGCUUCUUAUGAUUUAAUAAAAUUUAAUUUACUUCAAAUGAUGCAAUUGUGGCUUUUUUCGAUUUCAGAUUCGAUCUCGAGAAAAAAAAACUCUGAAAAACAUUCAUUUGGAGCCAACGAUAGUUCUUUGGGGGUCUCCGUAGCCACAUUGGUUGCGCGUUCGCUUAAAUAGCUAGGUCCACGCAACAAUCAUCAGCGAUGGCGAUCGAUCCACGGUCGAAUAAAGAUCGAUUCGUCCAUACAACUACUCUGCUCUGCAAGAUACAUCGGGCUGCUGUUCUAUAAAUAACUCAACAAUGAUCAACAACUGUCUCCGCUGUCCGGUCUAACUGGAUAAUGGAAGAACAGAUAGAAAACUCUUACGCCUAAAUGGCUACUGUGUGAAUGUGUACCAUAUGCAAUGGUGUAGUAGGGAAUAGUCUAACGCCGAAAAAUGGCAACUGUGUAAUGUGCUAAUUAUAGAUAUGAUAAACAUGUGACAUGUACACGAUUAAAAUUCGGCUCUGUUACAGCUAAAAUACUAAUGAGCCUAAAAUAAACAAAAAGGGAUAAAAAAAAACGAUAGUUCUUUUUA